CCUACGGGGGGCUGCAGUGGGGAAUAUUGGACAAUGGGCGAAAGCCUGAUCCAGCCAUGCCGCGUGUGUGAAGAAGGCCUUCGGGUUGUAAAGCACUUUCAGUGGGGAAGAAAGCCUUGGGGCUAAUACCCUCGAGGAAGGACAUCACCCACAGAAGAAGCACCGGCUAACUCCGUGCCAGCAGCCGCGGUAAUACGGAGGGUGCGAGCGUGAAUCGGAAUUACUGGGCGUAAAGCGCGCGUAGGCGGUCUGAUAAGCCGGUUGUGAAAGCCCCGGGCUCAACCUGGGAACGGCAUCCGGAACUGUCAGGCUAGAGUGCAGGGGAGGAAGGUAGAAUUCCCGGUGUAGCGGUGAAAUGCGUAGAGAUCGGGAGGAAUACCAGUGGCGAAGGCGGCCUUCUGGACUGACACUGACGCUGAGGUGCGAAAGCGUGGGUAGCAAACAGGAUUAGAUACCCCAUAGUC
RNAcentral lists this ribosomal RNA (464 nucleotides) under Vreelandella stevensii. RNAcentral describes it as "partial 16S ribosomal RNA". It matches the Rfam family "Bacterial small subunit ribosomal RNA", at positions 338 to 795 of the family's 1533-position model. Lineage: Bacteria; Pseudomonadati; Pseudomonadota; Gammaproteobacteria; Oceanospirillales; Halomonadaceae. The record is from RNAcentral.